RNAcentral lists this long non-coding RNA (499 nucleotides) under Bos indicus x Bos taurus (hybrid cattle). RNAcentral describes it as "lncRNA (ENSBIXG00000020220.1)". Lineage: Eukaryota; Metazoa; Chordata; Mammalia; Artiodactyla; Bovidae. The record is from RNAcentral.
CAUAUCGAUGCCUUAGGAAACAGUGAAGAUUAGAUCUCCGAGGUCAGCCGGUGUGUAAUUGGAAUCUCGGGGCUAGGAGAACACAGUCAGAUUUACACAGGGCUUCUUGUCUCUAGGGAUUCUUUUAUUUUUUUUUGCUAUCAUAUCAUCUCUGAUAGAGCAAAACUGCUUGUUUUAGCUCUUGAUAGAAAAGUAACUUCCCUUGUCCAUUUUUUCACAAGCAAUGUAUAAACAGGAAGAAAGUGGAAAGCCUGUCAUUAUGUGUAGCAGUACCCACUUUUGGUUAUAUGCCACAGAGAGGGAUGUGGAUUUGAGGGUAGAAGAUCUGGGUUUGAGUCCAGUUCUGCCUUGGGGGACAAACCAGAACCAGAAACAUUGUCCCUCUGAGGCCUGAGACAAGGAAGACAGAGCCCAUUGGUCUGUUAACCACUGGAGGUGAAUCCCAUGGGGAAAACUCUGUAAUUUUGGAUAGUAAAAAUGAAUGGUGUUAUGGAGCAAC